GAUGAACGCUGGCGGCGUGCCUAAUACAUGCAAGUCGAGCGAACGGACGAGAAGCUCUCUUCUCUGAUGUUAGCGGCGGACGGGUGAGUAACACGUGGAUAACCUACCUAUAAGACUGGGAUAACUACGGGAAACCGGAGCUACUACCGGAUAAUAUUUUGAACCGCAUGGUUCAAAAGUGAAAGACGGUCUUGCUGUCACUAAUAGAUGGAUCCGCGCUGCAUUAGCUAGUUGGUAAGGUAACGGCUUACCAAGGCAACGAUGAAUAGCCGACCUGAGAGGGUGAUCGGCCACACUGGAACUGAGACACGGUCCAGACUCCUACGGGAGGCAGCAGUAGGGAAUCUUCCGCAAUGGGCGAAAGCCUGACGGAGCAACGCCGCGUGAGUGAUGAAGGUCUUCGGAUCGUAAAACUCUGUUAUUAGGGAAGAACAUAAGUGUAAGUAACUGUGCACAUCUUGACGGUACCUAAUCAGAAAGCCACGGCUAACUACGUG
This 497-nucleotide ribosomal RNA is filed under the name uncultured bacterium. Its description in RNAcentral is "partial 16S ribosomal RNA". It matches the Rfam family "Bacterial small subunit ribosomal RNA", at positions 28 to 507 of the family's 1533-position model. The record is from RNAcentral.